GGCGGUGAUCAGAUGAGAUUCUAGGAAGAGCGCAACAUAAACAUGAUUCCAAGCUGAGAUCUACUCCUCAUUACACAAACAUUUAUCAAGCCUUUUCUUUGUGAGAGUUGAACCUCUUCUUUUAUUUGACCAAGUAAAAUCAGCUCCCCUGGUAUUUAGGUGAAUAAGGUUAGCAUCCUUAGAGAAAGAGAGGAAAUCCUCAUAGGGAAUUCUGCUAGGAAGCCUGGUUCCUCUACACUCAUUAGAACCCAAGACUACAUUAAAAUCCUGAAUACAACUCCAGAGGCCAGCAUUAGAACUCAUAACAACUUUGAUGUCAUUCCAUAGAAAUCUUCUCUGAAUGUAAAGAUUAUGAGCAUACACAGCACAC
Molecule: long non-coding RNA, 370 nt
Filed under: Lupinus angustifolius (narrow-leaved blue lupine)
Lineage: Eukaryota; Viridiplantae; Streptophyta; Magnoliopsida; Fabales; Fabaceae
Description: long non-coding RNA (LANG_LNC000577)
Source: RNAcentral